This 494-nucleotide ribosomal RNA is filed under the name uncultured bacterium. RNAcentral's name for it is "partial 16S ribosomal RNA". It matches the Rfam family "Bacterial small subunit ribosomal RNA", at positions 28 to 507 of the family's 1533-position model. The record is from RNAcentral.
GACGAACGCUGGCGGCGCGCUUAACACAUGCCAGUCGAACGGAAAGGCCUGCUUUCCCUUGUGGAUUGCGGGUACUCGAGUGGCGAACGGGUGAGUAACACGUGAGUGAUCUGCCCCCAACUUGGGUAUAAGCCUGGGAAACUGGGUCUAAUUCCCGAUAGGACUGCAGGGUGGUGCCUGUGGUGGAAAACGAUUUUCUAGUGGUUGGGGAUGAGCUCGCGGCCUAUCAGCUUGUUGGUGGGGUAAUGGCCUACCAAGGCGGCGACGGGUAGCCGGCCUGAGAGGGUGGACGGCCACAUUGGGACUGAGAUACGGCCCAGACUCCGACGGGAGGCAGCAGUGGGGAAUAUUGCACAAGGGGCGGAAGCCUGAUGCAGCGACGCCGCGUGGGGGAUGACGGCCUUCGGGUUGUAAACUCCUUUCGACCGCGAGGAAGCCACCUGGUUGGAAGGGUGGUGACGGUAGUGGUAGAAGAAGCACCGGCUAACUACGUG